CCCUGGUUAGCUCAGUCGGUAGAACGUCCCACCGGAAAUGGAGAAGUCCCUGGUUCGAUACCAGGACCAAGCG
Ixodes scapularis (black-legged tick) is the source of this 73-nucleotide non-coding RNA. The record is from Rfam. NCBI's taxonomy places the organism in Eukaryota, Metazoa, Arthropoda, Arachnida, Ixodida, Ixodidae.